GACGAACGCUGGCGGCGUGCUUAACACAUGCAAGUCGAACGGAAAGGCCCUGCUUUCGUGGGGUGCUCGAGUGGCGAACGGGUGAGUAACACGUGAGUAACCUGCCCUUGACUUUGGGAUAACUUCAGGAAACUGGGGCUAAUACCGGAUAGGAGCUCCUGCUGCAUGGUGGGGGUUGGAAAGUUGCGGCGGGUGGGGAUGGACGCGCGGCUUAUCAGCUUGUUGGUGGGGUAGUGGCUUACCAAGGCAUUGACGGGUAGCCGGCCUGAGAGGGUGACCGGCCACAAUGGGACUGCGAUACGGCCCAGAGUCGUACGGGAGGCAGCAGUGAGGAAUAUUACACAAUGGGAGGAAGCCUGAUGCAGCAGCGCUGCGUGCGGGAUGACGGCCUGCGGGUUGUAAACCGCAUUCGCCUGUGACGAAGCGUGAGUGACGGUAAUGAGUAAAGAAGCACCGGCUAACUACGUG
This 468-nucleotide ribosomal RNA is filed under the name uncultured bacterium. RNAcentral describes it as "partial 16S ribosomal RNA". It matches the Rfam family "Bacterial small subunit ribosomal RNA", at positions 28 to 507 of the family's 1533-position model. The record is from RNAcentral.